GUUUGAUCAUGGCUCAGGAUGAACGCUAGCGGCAGGCCUAAUACAUGCAAGACGAACGGUAACUGGAGUAGCAAUACUUCGGCUAGAGUGUCGUAAGGGUGCGUAACAAGUAUGCAAUCUGCCCUGUACAGGAGAAUAGCUCCCCGAAAGGGGAAUUAACACUCCAUAAGAUCACGCGAGGGCAUCCGAGAGUGAUUAAAACUGAGGUGGUACAGGAUGAGCAUGCUUCUGAUUAGCUAGUUGGUAGUGUAACGGACUACCAAGGCGAUGAUCAGUAGGGGAACUGAGAGGUUGAUCCCCCACACUGGCACUGAGAUACGGGCCAGACUCCUACGGGAGGCAGCAGUAGGGAAUAUUGGUCAAUGGGUGAGAGCCUGAACCAGCCAUGCCGCGUGCAGGAAGACGGCCUUCUGGGUUGUAAACUGCUUUUGUCAGGGGAUAAAAUUUCCUUGCGAGGAAAAUUGAAGGUACCUGGCGAAUAAGCCACGGCUAACUACGUGCCAGCAGCCGCGGUAAUACGUAGGUGGCAAGCGUUGUCCGGAUUUAUUGGGUUUAAAGGGUGCGUAGGCGGCCUUGUAAGUCAGUGCUGAAAUAUCCCGGCUUAACCGGGAGGGUGGCAUUGAUACUGCAGGGCUUGAGUGGAGUCGAGGUAGGCGGAAUUGACGGUGUAGCGGUGAAAUGCUUAGAUAUCGUCAAGAACACCGAUAGUGUAGACAGCUUACUAGGCUUCAACUGACGCUGAGGCACGAAAGUGUGGGGAUCAAACAGGAUUAGAUACCCUGGUAGUCCACACUGUAAACGUUGAUUACUCGCUGUUGGCGAUACACAGUCAGCGGCUUAGCGCAAGCGAUAAGUAAUCCACCUGGGGAGUACGCCGGCA
This 880-nucleotide ribosomal RNA is filed under the name uncultured bacterium. RNAcentral describes it as "bacterial SSU rRNA". It matches the Rfam family "Bacterial small subunit ribosomal RNA", at positions 11 to 890 of the family's 1533-position model. The record is from RNAcentral.